CAAACCCAGCUGGGGUUUAGCUCAGCCCAAGCUGGCAGCAGCUUUGCUGGUCUGUGUUGGAGCUUUCCAGCUGGGACAGCAGCAGUUCCUGGGGCAGAACAGGCACAGCAGAACCCCCCAUCUCCACUGCUGGGGGUUUAUCAGCUAGCAUAAAACUGCAGCCCUGUUCUGGUGCAGGCAGCCAGCGGGUAGAGCUCCAGAAGCUCCCCAAGCAAGUGUAUCUCCUCUGUGUGUAGGAGUAGCUGCUGACUGGGAGCAGCACCAUUUCCAAGAACUCCCAAAAGUUACAAGCCUUUGCGUCUUGCUGAAUCAGUGCGAGAUCCAGAGCAGCUCCUCGCUCAGCAGCUCAGAGAAAUCGAAGCUCCUGGUCGCUGCAGCCCAGCCUCAGUGCUGAACGCCAGUAUCUCAUCCCCUCCUCCUCGAGAUGCUCCCUGUGAUUCCUGCACACACACCUGGCCCUAAUGAAAGGGCCCGGCGCCUCCCCAUCGCCCAGCCAGUUAAACCUGCACAAACUGAGCCCAUCGCACACAAAAA
Long non-coding RNA from Haemorhous mexicanus (house finch), 534 nucleotides. RefSeq lists it as uncharacterized. The transcript is spliced from 2 exons. The record is from RefSeq and is a predicted model, not a curated record. Lineage: Eukaryota; Metazoa; Chordata; Aves; Passeriformes; Fringillidae.